GCCAUCGUAGCUCAGUCGGCAGAGCGAUGCUUUCGUAAAGCAUAGGUCGUCGGUUCAAAUCCGACCGAUGGCU
Molecule: transfer RNA, 73 nt
Filed under: Planctomycetota bacterium
Lineage: Bacteria; Pseudomonadati; Planctomycetota
Description: Planctomycetes bacterium (freshwater metagenome) tRNA-Thr
Rfam family: tRNA
About the family: Transfer RNA (tRNA) molecules are approximately 80 nucleotides in length. Their secondary structure includes four short double-helical elements and three loops (D, anti-codon, and T loops). Further hydrogen bonds mediate the characteristic L-shaped molecular structure. tRNAs have two regions of fundamental functional importance: the anti-codon, which is responsible for specific mRNA codon recognition, and the 3' end, to which the tRNAs corresponding amino acid is attached (by aminoacyl-tRNA synthetases). tRNAs cope with the degeneracy of the genetic code in two manners: having more than one tRNA (with a specific anti-codon) for a particular amino acid; and 'wobble' base-pairing, i.e. permitting non-standard base-pairing at the 3rd anti-codon position.
Source: RNAcentral